Micropterus salmoides (largemouth bass) is the source of this 535-nucleotide long non-coding RNA. RefSeq lists it as uncharacterized. The record is from RefSeq and is a predicted model, not a curated record. Lineage: Eukaryota; Metazoa; Chordata; Actinopteri; Centrarchiformes; Centrarchidae. The transcript is spliced from 2 exons.
AUCCAAAUUUGAACUGGUCAUCAUUGCAGUACUCAUUUCCAGGAAACUAGUCCUGUGUGUUCAAUAUAGCCUCUUCUGAAUUUGAUCCUGACUGUCUUUGCAUGAAUAACAAUGACACAUCUGUGCCUGAUUCCACUCUCUUUUCUCUCCUUGUACACUUACUCCUCCUAGCAGCUGGGCUGAGCACCUGGUGUGUAUGAAGCUGGACAUUGUUAUUGAUUACUGUAGGGAGGAGUGGUCCCAGACAUCAUGGCUCCGUCACUGCAUCCCCGGUGUAGAAGGCAAGCAACACAAGGAAAGGAUGGAAUUGCAUACAUUGAAGAUCAUUUUGGAAGCAAAGAAUGAAAAUGUUUAUUCUUGAUGAAGACCAUCAAACAGUUUUCUGUUGACUUACUAAAAUUGACCUGACAUGGACUUUAUCCAUAUGUUAUGUUUCUCUGUAUUUUCAGCAUGAAAGGCAUUAGGUAAAGCUAUCACCGUAAUCCUCUAUUUUGUUAAUAACCACAUUCAAAGUGCUGGCAGCUUUUUUUUUUUA